AAUUUGCAUAACAUUUUACAAAAAUAGGUAAUUGAGCGGCUGGCAUUGUGACAUAGCAGGUAAUGCCACUGCCUGUGCAAUGCCAGCAUCCCACAUGGUUCAUGUCGGUUCAUGCCCUGGCUGCUCUACUUCUGAUCCAGCUCCCUGCUAAUAGCCUGCGAAAAGCAAAGAAAAGUGACCCAAGUGCUUGACCCCUGCCACCCAUGGGGGAGACCCUGAUGAAGCUCCUGACUCCUGCCUUUGGCCUGGCCCAUCCUCAGCUGUUAUGGCCUUUUGGAGAAUGAAUCAGCAGUUACAAGAUCUCUUUCUCUUCCCUCCCUCUAAAAGGAAUAAAUAAGAAAAUCUGUCGCAUUGGGAGAGUGUUACUUGGUUCUUGACUUCUGUCAGUAUAGAAAUAAGGAAAGAGCCGAGAUGCAAAGCAAGAGUAAGUUUAUGGAGUGAGCCAGGAGGCAGAACAAAAGGCUGUCUGACUCACUGGAGACCAGUAGUUCAGAGAGGGUCCCCAGAGCCGGGGGUCUAUCUGGGAGAGUGAGGCAUAAGGUCUGUUAUGGAUAGUUUAACUUCCUGUUUGAUCAACAUCACUAGGGUGUUACACAGCAUAUGGGGUGUGGGGUGAUUUUAAUUGGACCUAGGCUGUGAGCACAAGCACAGAAGGGAUCUUGGGUUGCGCUUUUUGCAGUGUCUAUGAGUACUGCAAGGGUAUAGAAAGGGAUUGGAUUGGUCGUUCCGUGGUGCGCGCAUGAAUGGGCUUGCCACAUGAACCGAGGAAGAAGAAGGGGGAAGGGGAAGUUGGAAGCCAUUUUAGGCUAUUAUUUAUUUUGGAAACCUCUACUGGAGGCUUUCUGUCCCUACCUAUGGGUCCGCUAGCCCUACAAAUCUUAAAAAAAUAAAUUAAUCGACUGCAGGAAUACUGACAUUGCCACCAUCCAAGAGUUUAUAAAUGUGCAGCCAAAGGAACUUAGUAGAUGUGAAUUUAUUAAUGUAAAUGUAUAAAAUUAUGGUAAAAAGAUGCCUCAGAGGAGUGAUGUCAUUAAAAAACUUUCAUAUUAUAGUGAAGUCUCAGAGACACAUCAUAACAUUGAAAGCAAAAGGGAUAAAAUGUUUGAAGCUUACCAAACUUUGAAAGCUGCAUGGUAAUUCACAAAGGCACAGCAAAUAUACUCCUCCAUAUUGUAAGUUAUACAAGAAAAGAUAGGUUCUAUUCUAACUUCUCUUGGUAAUUUUUUUAAAAUAAAGAAAAACACUAAAAACUCUCAAUUUUUAAAAAAGAUUUAUUUAUUUUGAAAUUCAGAGUUACAGAGAGAGGGAGACACAGAGAGAGAGCGCGCAAGCUACCAUCUGCUGAUUCACUUCCAACAUGGGCUGAUCAGGCCAAAGCCAGGAGCAAUGAGCUUCUCUCAUGUGUCCCAGUUGUGUGGCAGAUCUUCUGAUGCUUUCCCCAGGCCAUUAGCAGGGAGCUGGAUUGGAAGCGGGGCACCCGGGACAUGAACCAGUGCCCAUUUGGAAUACCAGCGUCCUAGGUGGUGGCUUUACCUGGCAUGCCAUUAUGACAGCCCCUAAUUCUCAAUUUUUAUAAUGUUCUAAAAUAAAUGGGGCAGGCGUGAAGUGUGGUGGUUAAGACACUACUUGAGACACCUGUAUCCCAUACUUGAGUGCCUUGGUUCGAGUCCCAACUCGCUUUUUUUUUUUUUUUUUUUUGACAGGCAGAGUGAACAGUGAGAGUUGCCGUUGGUUCACCCUCCAAUGGCCGCUGCCAGCACAUUGCGGCUGGCGCACUGCGCUGAUCCGAUGGCAGGAGCCAGGUGCUUCUCCUGGUCUCCCAUGGGGUGCAGGGCCCAAGCACUCGGGCCAUCCUCCACUGCACUCCCGGGCCACAGCAGAGAGCUGGACUGGAAGAGGGGCGACUGGGACAGAAUCCGGUGCCCCGACUGGGACUGGUGUGCCGGCACUGCAAGGUGGAGGAUUAGCGUAGUGAGCCGCGGCGCCGGUCAAACUCUGCUUUUGAUACCAGCUUCUUGCUAAUGUGCAUCCUGGGAGGCAACAGCUUGCCUCAAGAAGUUGGGUUCCUAAAAUCCAAGUUGAAGGCUUAGAUUGAGUACUGGAUUCCUGGUUUCAGGUUGGUCCAGCCUCAGUUGUUGUGGAAUUUAGGGAGUAAAGUAGCACAUGGGUGAUCUCUCCCCUGCCCUUCUCUCUGCCUUUCAAACAAAAUGAAAGUCAAUAGAAAUACUAAGUAUCCUAUACUAAAAAUACAUCAGUUUUAUCUUUUAUUUCCCUAUAUACAUAUAUUACUGAUAGAAAAUUUUUAACAACCUGAGAAAAAUUUUGAAGGUCAAAAAUUAUAAUUUUUCCCAUUUUUUUGAAGAUUUAUUUAUGGGGCUGGCAUUGUGGCAUAACAGGUUAAGCCAUUGCCUGCAGUGUCAACAUCCCAUAUGGGUGUCACUUCAAGGCCUGCCUGCUCCACUUCUGAUCAAGCUCCCAAGAACUUGACCAUCUUAGCAGGGAGCUGGAUUGAAAGUGGAGCAGCCAGUACUCGAACCAGCACCCAUAUGGGAUGCCAGCACUGCAGGUGGAGGCUUACCCUCUAUACCGCAGCACUGGCCCCAUUGCACCAUUUUUCAUUUUCAUGAGCUGGAGCAAAUUAAGAGCUACUUUUAUAUGUGUCAUCCAGAGUCUAUUCGGAGACAGAAAACUAUUAGUUACUUGAAUGAGUGGACUUAAUAGGAAAGGUUAUUGACUGGGUAUAAAUUUCAUAACUAGCCACUGAAAAGGUAAUAAGAAAACUGAAAUAUCAUGGAAGGAGCAACCACAAUAAGCAGCUAACACUCCUGGUUCUAAAGUAACAAAGGGAAGAGGCUGGAAUUAUUGGAAAUUGGUUAGACAUGUAAAAGAGAGGCUCUGAAGAGUUAAAAUCCAGACUUCAGAAAAGGAAGCGCUGAGUGGGAACAGGGCGGUUGGUACGGGUCUCUGAGGUGCUGCAAACACAUGGAGACUCACGAUUAGAAACACUGCAAACCAGAUGGAGCUGCUGCUGCAAGAAGGAACUGCCUUGAGGCUCAAGAAGCAUUGCUGGGGUUAGGUUCACAGGAACCUCACACAGACAGGAAGCAGGCAGAAAGGGGAUCCCCCCUUCCUCUAGCACUGUGGUCUCUCCUUACCACCCCGUAUUGAUGGAGCUUAACAUGCAGUCUCCUGACAAAGCAGAAAUGUUACAUCACAAAGCACAACGGAGCAAGGGGGUCUGGAGCUGAGAGAUAAUGACUUAGUAACUGGCACACUGUUCUGGGAGCAACAGUGGCAGAGAAGUAUAAACUGGGUAUGCAAGGGUGCGUCUUUGAUUCUCAAGAGAAAAUGAGAAUAGUUUUGUUCUAAGUUACAUGAGGAAACCGGUAAGAUGUUACAACAGAGUCCAAAGAGAAUCCAAGCAGCAGUAAUAUUUUUUGAUCAGAAAUAUUGAAGUGAAUUUCCAAACGGAUGCAAAGGUGUCAUUUGGAAGAGAGGGCGUGUUAUCCACUCACUGGACAGUAUUCAUCUGAGUGGCUAUGGACAAGAACUAUUUGCAUGGUUCCAUGUUUUCUACAAGUCAGUUUGCGUCACGGAAGUGUUUGAGAGAGAAGAAAAUGAAUCUCCCCGGAUGAUCAGAUACUCUCAACAUUAGAGCAUUCCAUUGAAGUAUGCCCAGUCUGUGAGAGAAAAUGGUCCUCUCUGUGAAAGAUCUGCCUGGAUGCAGAGAGAAAAGAAGCCAAUCCCUGCUUCUGGGAAAGAUGAGUCGCCCCAGCAACUCACGGGCUGUAGAUCCCUUGAAUCCAGCCUCCCUCACCAGAUUUUAAGCCACUUGAGUACAGGAAACUUGCUGAAUGCCUAGUGCACCUUCAGAAACGGUGUCGUCAGAAACAGGUCUUCCAGAAAUACUUGCUGAUCCACUGCUUGACUUUUGUAAAUGGAAACAAGAAAUGUGCCACUGUAUUGGAAGAUAUAAGACAACCGUGACAAAGCAACAGCACAAGCUAGUCUGUAGCUGAAAAUCAGUCAGAAAUCAAAGAUUCAUGUGAUCUGAUAAAGGAGUGCAGUAACAUUAUUAAACCUCAUAUUUCAGAAACUUUUAAAAAUUGCUAUAAAUUAUAUGACCAGUAUAUUAUGUGGAGAAAAGGGGGAAAAUGCUUCAAACAGGGGGAAUUUGCAUGUAAAAAAUGACAAUUAAAAAUGGACU
Molecule: non-coding RNA, 4207 nt
Organism: Oryctolagus cuniculus (rabbit)
Lineage: Eukaryota; Metazoa; Chordata; Mammalia; Lagomorpha; Leporidae
Source: RefSeq, a predicted model, not a curated record